UACGUAGGGUGCGAGCGUUAAUCGGAAUUACUGGGCGUAAAGCGUACGCAGGCGGCUGCGCAAGACAGGUGUGAAAUCCCCGGGCUUAACCUGGGAACUGCAUUUGUGACUGCACGGCUAGAGUGUGUCAGAGGGGGGUAGAAUUCCACGUGUAGCAGUGAAAUGCGUAGAGAUGUGGAGGAAUACCGAUGGCGAAGGCAGCCCCCUGGGAUAACACUGACGCUCAUGCACGAAAGCGUGGGGAGCAAACAGG
Molecule: ribosomal RNA, 253 nt
Filed under: uncultured bacterium
Lineage: Bacteria
Description: partial 16S ribosomal RNA
Rfam family: Bacterial small subunit ribosomal RNA
Source: RNAcentral